RNAcentral lists this ribosomal RNA (484 nucleotides) under uncultured bacterium. Its description in RNAcentral is "partial 16S ribosomal RNA". It matches the Rfam family "Bacterial small subunit ribosomal RNA", at positions 29 to 507 of the family's 1533-position model. The record is from RNAcentral.
AUUGAACGCUGGCGGCAUGCUUUACACAUGCAAGUCGAACGGCAGCACGGGGGCAGCCCUGGUGGCGAGUGGCGAACGGGUGAGUAAUACAUCGGAACGUGCCCGGUCGUGGGGGAUAACGUAGCGAAGGGUACGCUAAUACCGCAUACGAUCAGAGGAUGAAAGCGGGGGACCUUCGGUCCUCGCCGGAUCGGCGCGGCCGAUGUCAGAUUAGGUAGUUGGUGGGGUAAAGGCCUACCAAGCCGACGAUCUGUAGCUGGUCUGAGAGGACGACCAGCCACACUGGGACUGAGACACGGCCCAGACUCCUACGGGAGGCAGCAGUGGGGAAUUUUGGACAAUGGGCGCAAGCCUGAUCCAGCCAUGCCGCGUGCAGGACGAAGGCCUUCGGGUCGUAAACUGCUUUUGUACGGAACGAAAAGGCUCUGGCUAAUACCUGGGGCUCAUGACGGUACCGUAAGAAUAAGCACCGGCUAACUACGUG